AUGAAUAUGCAAUCAGGCCAAUCCCUUUCACACUCAUAUGAUGUAACAUGGACGGUACAAGGGAAAUGGUGGGCUUUUUUUUCGCAAAAGGAAAAUGCUACUCACCUGGUUUGCCUGACGUCUUCAGUGUUCGUAGUUACUCCGGAAAUCCUAUUAUGCUGCACUCUCGCAGCAGAGAUAAAGAUGGGGACAAAAAAAGAUAAAAGGAAACAAAAAGGAACAAAAGUUAUAUCUGAAAUACCCUUCAUCCGGUCACAUUUAUUUAAGUGGGCGGAGGAGUGCAGGACGAAGAGGAUAGUCACUGUCCUCCCUCCACCAAAUCCCCAAGAGGUUCAUCAUGUCAUAGCGGCAUCUUGGGAGGUCAGGAGGUGGCAGUGGUGUGCGAUAUGGGUGGCGGCGAAGUGCAUGGGAGGGGUAGCGACAAUGCUGGCCGCUCGUGGUGGAGGACGGGACAGAGGUGGUGGUGAAAGAGCAUAA
This 477-nucleotide ribosomal RNA is filed under the name Triticum aestivum (bread wheat). RNAcentral describes it as "partial small subunit ribosomal RNA". Lineage: Eukaryota; Viridiplantae; Streptophyta; Magnoliopsida; Poales; Poaceae. The record is from RNAcentral.